UUUGAAAUCCGGCCCCCCGGGCCCGAGUUGUAAUUUGCAGAGGACGCUCCUGGCGCGGCGCCUUCCGAGUUCCCUGGAACGGGACGCCACAGAGGGUGAGAGCCCCGUCCGGUCGGACGCCAAGCCUCCGUGGAGCUCCUUCGACGAGUCGAGUAGUUUGGGAAUGCUGCUCAAAACGGGAGGUAUAUGUCUUCUAAAGCUAAAUACCGGCCAGAGACCGAUAGCGCACAAGUAGAGUGAUCGAAAGAUGAAAAGCACUUUGAAAAGAGGGUUAAACAGUACGUGAAAUUGUUGAAAGGGAAGCGCUCGCGGCCAGACUCGGGCCCGGCGGAUCAUCCGGCGUUCUCGCCGGUGCGCUCCGCCGGGCCCGGGCCAGCAUCGGUCCGCGGCGGGGGACAAAGGCUCCGGGAACGUGGCCCCCACGGGGGUGUUAUAGCCCGCUGCGCAAUGCCCCGCGGCGGACCGAGGUACGCGCCCCGCAAGGAUGCUGGCGUAAUGGCCUCCAGCGACCCGUCUUGAAACACGGACCAAGGAGUCGUCUUCGUAUGCGAGUGUUCGGGUGUCAAACCCCUACGCGCAAUGAAAGUGAACGCUGGUGAGAGCCUCGGCGCAUCACCGACCGAUCCUGAUGUUCUCGGAUGGAUUUGAGUAAGAGCAUACGGGGCCGGACCCGAAAGAAGGUGAACUAUGCCUGUGUAGGGUGAAGCCAGAGGAAACUCUGGUGGAGGCUCGCAGCGGUUCUGACGUGCAAAUCGAUCGUCAAACAUGGGCAUGGGGGCGAAAGACUAAUCGAACCUUCUAGUAGCUGGUU
Molecule: ribosomal RNA, 811 nt
Filed under: Ophiocordyceps pseudorhizoidea
Lineage: Eukaryota; Fungi; Ascomycota; Sordariomycetes; Hypocreales; Ophiocordycipitaceae
Description: partial large subunit ribosomal RNA
Rfam family: Eukaryotic large subunit ribosomal RNA
Source: RNAcentral